Molecule: long non-coding RNA, 1287 nt
Organism: Capra hircus (goat)
Lineage: Eukaryota; Metazoa; Chordata; Mammalia; Artiodactyla; Bovidae
Exons: 4
Source: RefSeq, a predicted model, not a curated record
AAAGCACCAAGUCUUAACCUCUGGACCACCAUGGAAUUUCCGCUGCCAGCUUUACGGGAAGAGGUAGGAGAUGACAAGACCGCCAUCAAAUGUUAAACCUCGACCCCCAGCUCACUGCGGUCCCUUCGGCUGGACCACCUGCACACGGGGUCGCUGCACACAUCCACCCACAAGAACAUCAGGGACACCCACAACUCUACAGGCUCUCAGGACAGCCCCGGGAACAACCCCAGCAGCAGCACCAGCAGGCAGGACUCGUUGCACAAAGCCCCGAAGAAGAAGGGCAUCAAGUCCUCCAUCAGCCGCUUGUUUCGCAAGAAGAAAAAGGGCCGGCCUGAGCACCCCGGCAAGGAGGCGUUAGCACCAGGCAGGAUCUUUACCCCUAGCACCACCUGGAAAGCCCCAGUGAACGCUGACAACUAGAAAUGCAGAAAAUCCGAGCUGCUCCUAAGGUAAACUGGGAGAGCAGCAAGCACAGGUUGUAAAGACAAAGACACAGGAUGAGCGACAACGCGCCCACAGAGACAGGCAGGAAUGCGGUCACCCACAUAAAGGAAAUGUCUGUGCCGUUCGGAAGAGGAGCCGGCCAGCCCUUGGAGGGACAGUUGGAAUCGGAAUGAAAACCGAGACAAUGGUCAGCAGUGCCCACCCACACGGCCCGGGUGGCGUGGUGUCACUCACCGGGCUUCCUGCGUCCCCAGAGCUGCUGGUGGGAAGAUCUCUGAGUGCCAGGCCGGGCAGCGUCCCCGUGUGAGCUAAGGCAUCACUGCUAUCCUUCCAGUGCUGCUGUGGGCCCCUCUGUGGGCGGCCACCCUCAUCCCCUGCCCUGCCACCCACUCGGGCUGGGCUCUCCCUCUGGGAUCUUUUCAGGCCUUGAACUUGGGUGUUCCCAGCCCUCUGCCACGCCGGACUGGGACGCAGCUCAGGACUUGGCCUUGAGAUAUCAAGGAGACCUUGAAUCUGGAAGGACACCACCAUGGGAGCAGGAGAGCAAAGCCCACACGGGGAGGAAGCAGAGCUGGGGAACGUGCCCGCAGCCUCCACUGCGUCCUGCACAAGUGCCUCCUCUUUGCCUCUCUUUGACCUGAAACAACCCCCAGCUGCUGCUGCUCCACAGGUGAUUCCUAAAAAUGCACCUCCUGCAAGAGCUAUCGUCCUGCUGCUCUGGGGCUGCCUCAGUGUGUUCAGGAGUGUCAGACAAGUAGGGCUGCCACACCUCAUACUGGAGGUGGGGGGCCUGAUACUGGGGAAGGGUCGGAGGUUGGGGAAGGGUCUGAGGGUGGGGGG